Molecule: long non-coding RNA, 3700 nt
Organism: Oncorhynchus tshawytscha (Chinook salmon)
Lineage: Eukaryota; Metazoa; Chordata; Actinopteri; Salmoniformes; Salmonidae
Source: Ensembl
ACAAGACUGUUGUCACAUCGACUGGCUACACACGGAGUGAUAGACAAACUUGCGCACCACACAGACAGACGCGCAAUAUCCUGAAAAAUAUUUGGUAGAUAUUUUGUUAGUGGCUAACCAGAGGUUUGAAAAAUGUCAAUGUUGCGUUGAUUAGAUAGUAGCUGGGAGCUUGCGGUGUCGAAUAGUUGUGAGAUUUGUUUAUGACAGUGCGAUGGAACACGUGAAAAAUUGCAUGUAUUUUUGGAAUUGUUUGGCGAGCUACUCAUAGGUGGACUGCGAGCUACUGCACUUCACUGAUGGAAAGCCAAGCGAAAUAUGUCCUAACUCAGUAGAUGCGGGGAGCACAUGGCUGGAACAACAUCCUUCAGAUGCCCUCCAAACAAAAGCCAACCCCGGCCAAACCCAGAUGACGCUGGGCCAAUUGUGCUCCACCCUAUGGGACUCCCAAUCACGGCUGGAUGUGAUACAGUCUGGAUACACUAUAUGUGGACACCCCUUCAAAUUAGUAGAUUUGGCUAUUUCAGAUACAACCAUUGCUGACAAGUGUAUAAAAUCGAGUACACAGCCAUGCAAUCUCCAUAGACAAACAUUGGCAUUAGAUUGGCCUUACUGAAAAGCUUGGUGACUUUCAAUGUGGCACCGUCAUAGAAUGCCACCUUUCCAACAUGUCAGUUCAUAACAUUUCUGCCCUGCUAGAGCUGCCCCCGUCAACUAUACAGUAAGUGCUGUUGUUGUGUGGAAACAUCUAGGAGCAACAAGGCAGCCGCGAAGUGGUAGGCCACACAAGAUUACAGAACAGGGCCGAUGAGUGCUGAAGCACAUAGCGCUUAAAAAAUCUUCUGUCCUCGGUUGCAACACUACAGAGUUCCAAACUGCCUCUGGAAGCAAUGUCAGGACAAGAACUGUUCCAUCGUACACAAGCCUAAAAUCACCAUGUGCAAUGCCAAGCGUCAAUGAAGUUGUGUUAAGCUCGCCACUAUUGGACUCUGGAGCAGUGGAAACGCGUUGUCUGGAGUGAUGAAUCAUGCUUCACCACCUGGCUGUCCGACGGACGAAUCUGGGUUUGGCAGAUGCCAGGAAAACGCUUCCUGCCUCAAUGCAUAGUGCCAAUUGUAAAGUUUGGUGGAGGAGGAAAUGGUCUGGGGCUAUUUUUUAUGGUUCAGGCUAGGCCCCUUAGUUCCAGAGAAGGGAAAUCUUAACGCUAACGCAUUCAAAGACAUUCCAGACGAUUCUAUGUUCUAAUUCUGUGGCAACAAUUUGGGUAAGGCCCUUCACUGUUUCAGCAUGACAAUGCACCCAUCCACAAAGCCAGGUCCUUACAGAUAUGGUUUGUCGAGAUUGGUUUAGAAGAUCUUGACUGGCCAGCACAGAGCCCCGACCUCAACCCAUUCGAAAACCGUUGGGAUUAAUUGGAACACUGACGGCGAGCCAGAUAUUUAUCCCCUCACCCUCUUUGAUCACGUGGAAGUCCUUGAUUGAGGACACAUGAUCCUCCACGGUCAUGUCCCUCGCACUAAAGGGACACUUCACCUCCAGCACUCCACUCAUGACAUUGCCACAGGUAACUGCAUCAGGCGAAGCUCCUAGAAAAGGUAGGCUGGGCCGCAAGAGUAGACUGCAUCUGAGCAGGUGCCUAUCUGGGAAUUUCUUGAGGUACAUUGAUAGCAUCAUAGCUUAUCGGCUUGGAAGAUACUUGUUUUGGACUGCACAAAUGCCUCUGCCACUCUUUUUGUAUUUUUGUGACUUCGCUAAAUGCUGUGAUGCUGUGAUUCUCCCUUCUCUCUCCUGGUGCCACUGCUCAGAGCUGCCUUGUUCCCAUGUUUGGUGCCGUCUUUCCCUGUGUAUAUCUAACAACAUUUGAAGACCCACAGUAUGGUGUUGAUGGAGGUGGUGGUAGAUGAUGAUUGGUCGAUGGGAAAAAUGAGCAAAGAGAAAUGACAGUCUGUUCAUUACUUUAAGACAUGAAGGUCAGUCAAUCCGGAACAUUUCAAGAACUUUGAAAGUUUCUUCAAGUGCAGUCGCAAAAAGUGCUAUGAUGAAACUGGCUCUCAUGAGGACUGCCACAGGAAAGGAAGACUCAGAGUUACCUCUGCUGCAGAGGAUAAGUUCAUUAGCGUUAACUGCACCUCAGAUUGCAGCCCAAAUUAAUGCAGACACAUCUCAAUAUCAACUUUUCAUAGGAGACUGCGUGAAUCAGGCCUUCAUGGUCGAAAUGCUGCAAAGAAGCCACCUCUAAAGGACACCAAUAAGUAAAAAAGACUUGCUUGGGCCAAGAAACACGAGCAAUGGACAUUAGACUGGUGGAAAUUAGUCCAAAUUUGAGAGACGCCGAGUAGGUGAACGGAUGAUCUCCGCAUGUGUGGUUCCCACCGUGAAGCAUGGAGGAGGAGGUGUGAUGGCGAGGGGAUGCUUUUCUGGUGACACUGUUAGUGAGUUAUUUCAAGGCACACUUAACCAGCAUGGCUACCACAGCAUUUCUAGUGAUAUGCCAUCCCAUUUGGUUUGCGUGUAGUGGGACUAUAAUUUGUUUAUCAACAGGACAAUGUCCCAACACACCUCCAGGCAGUGUAAGAGUUAUUUGAUGAAGGAGAGUGAUGGAGUGGUGCAUUAGAUGACCUGGCCUCCACAAUCACCCGACCUCAACCCAAUUGAGAUAGUGUUCUGAUAUCCAGAAGUUAUUUUCUGUCAUAAGAGACAGUAGCAUCAACAUUAUGUUAAAAAUAAGUUACAAACAAUGUGAAAUUGGUUAGGAGCCCGUGAAACGGCAGCCAUCCCCUCCGGCGGCAUUUUCCUGAUGUGUUUUAAGCGUUCUUGUGGACUUCCAUCUUUUUUUUCUAUUAAAAAAGGGUGAUUUUCAUCGAAAACCUGAAAAAUUGGGGAAAUGUUUACCUGGAAAAAUGAAACGGAGAAAACAGAAUUUGGGAAAAUACAAAACGGAAUCAGGCAAAAUUAUGUAACGUGAUUUUUUUUAGAACCCUAUGUAUGCUAUGCUCAGCUAACUUGUGUAUCCUCCCUGGGGGCAGAGAUGGGGUGUUAGGUUAUAAAUAUCAGUGGAAGAACUCAACGGACACUAUGAAAGCUUAAACCAAGUUUAUUCAUCCCAAAGGAUCGAACAGCUGAACAGACAGACAUAUUCACACAAGCACGGAUAUUUAACCUUUUCUCCUAUGCUGAGUCUCCUCCUACACAACUGAACAGCCAAUGCAUCUCUGUUACCCGACACAACCUUAGUGAUAUCUGUCUUCCUCACUUCAUCUGACCUGACCUGUUCCCCAAAGUGCUCACUCCACCCCAACGCACGGCUGUCAUGGUGACUGGUACCAGACUGUGUCUCUUCUCCCAGAGGAUCCCUCUAACAAUAACAUAUCCUGACAUAAUGUAAAUGUUAUACAUUACCCUUUCUCCCUCAGUGACAUGAAUAAGUAUAUUUCAUAUUCUUAGAACCAAACAGGGGGCUGGGGCUCCCCCUUUCCGCCCAAUGGUCUCUUUUCCCACUGAUCCAGCUCCAGCCCAGAGGCCUUCACAUUGUCCAAAUCCAUUGUAAAAAAUAGUUUGGUAUUCAUUUAACACUUCAACUAUGCCUCAUUGUCUUCUGUGCUCUAUUAUUACAUAUACUGCAUAUACUGUGGUAUUCUAGAAGGAGAGUGUAUAAAAGUGUACUAGUCCGAGUGUUUAUUUCUGAUGAAAUGUGUGAUCUAAC